GGACUUACACAAUAUUAGGCAGAUGGUUUUAAUGUUGUGGCUGAUCGAUGUAUAUACAUAUAUUGUGAUAUUUUAAAGUUAUAAACUCUUUGUUAUCCAGAAUCAGAAGGACACUGAAAAUCUUCCCCAAAACCAAGAAGCAAUUACUGAACUCAAAAACUCUUCAAAAGCAUCCUGUUGUGACUGUUAUAAAUUAGCUGCUUCAGAUAAAGGAACACAAAAAUAACCUAUUUGAGGAAUCUCAGAAGUCAAUGCAAUGGCAAAAGAGAGCAAUAGUUUUGCAGAGUGCAAUCAGGGCUGAGGCAAAGUCGGUCGAUCUGCAACAAGAAAAACAUCCACACCAAAUACUAAAUCUAUGGACUGAAACAAAUUACAUUUAGAAAUUUCAUUUCACACGUGGCAUUUUUUCUGACAACUUGGAUUAAAUGACAUUUGAUGUGAGGCUUAUUCUCUUUUUUUGACAUUGACAAUUAAAUGGAAAAACACAAUAUAGCAUUUUUGUUACAGUAUUACAAGUGAACAAGAGGGUUCUACAGUCACUCUGAAUUACUAAACGAUGUCAAUAGGCCUUUCUCUGUAAACUGAAGCACGCAUCAGUUUUGAAGAGGUUUUAAUUCAUUUCAGUACAAAUUAUACACUUGAUAUGUAAACAAAAUAUACUUACCAAUUAAAAAUACAUGUACUGUCUAUUGCAUUUCAUACAAGCACAAACAACUGUGAAGUUUACUUUUUGAUUUUUCACAUGAAAUCAGAUAAAUAAAACAACAACAAAAGUGCAAGUAUGACUUCAAACAAAAGACAAUUGAAAGAUGAAUGGAUGGCUAAUUACAGUCAAGUAAAAAUUCAUAGAACCCACAGAAACUGCAUAAUUGGAAUUCCAUAUUAAUCAAGAAGAAAAAGGUGUAACAUUAGUCAUGUAUCUAAAGAUAAACACCAAUCAGCCACAACAUUAAAACCACCUGCCUAAUAUUGUGUAGGUGGCUGAUCGGUGUAUCUGCACUGUUGUUAUGGUGAUUACUUUGAGAAGGAGGAGUUCUAUGAUCAUUUAUUAAACUGUAACAUUGUAGAUUAUGAAAUAUUUAAAUAAUGGCAAAACUAAAAAACUGACUUUGGCUCAAAAAUUUUUAACCCCGAGUUAAUUUUUUCUCUUAAACCUUUUCAAGUACUAAGCAAAUCCAGAUUUUAGCAGGACAUGAUGUUUUUAGGGGAUUUUGUGGAAAUUCGGGUUUGUUAAAAGAUUACACGACCCACGCAGUGCCACUUUUUGAAACAUACAGCCAUCAGAUGAUGUUUUUGUUUCUAGUUGCAUUUUAGUAUUAAAAGUUUAUAGAGGGUCAAAUCUGACUUAGAUGCUACAACUAAAAUGCAAAUUGUAAGUCUUACAAACAGAUGUCUAGAAGAUUACACAGAGAAAAUUAAAUCCAUAAUAAAAGCUAAAUAUCUCACAAGUAUAAGUGCAGCCUUCAUUAUUACCAUGUUAAUUAAAUGUAUAGUUCACCCAAAAAUGAAAAUUCUCUCAUCUUUUACUCACCCUCAUGCCAUCCCAAAUGUGUAUGACUUUUUAUUUUCUGAUGAACGCAAAUGAAAAUUUUAGAAGAAUACCUCAGCUCUUUUGAUCCAUUCAGUGCAAGUGAAUGGUUCCAGAAUUUUGAAGCUCCAAAAAGCACAAAGGCAGCAUAAAUACUUUUACUUUUAAUCCAUAUCUUCUGACACAAUAUGAUAGGUGUGGGUGAGAAACGGAUACAUAUUUAAGUCCUGUUUUACAAUAAAUUCUGCCCAGUAAAAAAAAAAAAAAAACAGAAGAAGAA
Long non-coding RNA from Myxocyprinus asiaticus (Chinese sucker), 1808 nucleotides. RefSeq lists it as uncharacterized. The record is from RefSeq and is a predicted model, not a curated record. Lineage: Eukaryota; Metazoa; Chordata; Actinopteri; Cypriniformes; Catostomidae. The transcript has 2 exons.